CACACGCCUGAAUCUGCUCCGCCGCCAUUGCCGGAAGCAUCGGAAAGCUUCAAGCGGCGCGCAUCUCUUGGGACCGUGCACCCGUCCCCACCUCCACCCCCACCCUCCGUCUCCUACUCCCCUGUUCUAGUCCCCCACGACUACCUAGCUCCGCCACCACCAUUCCCCACACUCCCGUCUCCAAAGCUCCAGAUCUCGUCGCCGGUUCUCUUUCUACUUCUGCUAUUUGCUUUAGAUACCCCUCCGUCAAGAUCCCGCGUGUCACAUCGAAGUCUACAACGCGGUGUUCCCCUGUGGCGGAUCAAAAGAGGAAGACGGCGAUUCAAUCUCGUCUCUCCCAAGCGACGACGACUUCGCGAGCACGGAGAUGGAACCUGAGUAAUAAAUGUAGAAGAGAAAGCUUCUACUUCAGUGAUUGCCCACCAUUUACUUUGAAACCUGCAGUCUGGUCGUUUUCUCAAGAGUUGUACCUUAAUGAUUAGAUUAUCUUUUACAAGGUCACUGACUGUGUAUAGACAGGGGGCAAGUUAUUUAGUGGUAGCUGCUAGUCAAUAUGAAUAUAUAAGAAGCCUAUUGUUCAUCUUGCUGGCUUUCGGUGGUCUAUCAAUGAUGUAUAACUUUCAUUUUCGACAGUUGUAGCUUGUAAUGAAACAUGUUGUGACCUAUUCAACAGCUGUCCAUAAAGGAUGUUGAAGAUUUGUCAAAAUUUGAAUGUAUCUAUACACUAAGAGUGUCUAGAUACAUUCAAAUUUAGACAAACUUUCAACAUCUUUGGACAGAGGUGGUACAAUUUUUCCUAAUAGUCCAUCCUUUUGCUGUAUCUAGUGGGCACAUGAAUGAUAACCAUAUCAUUUAAGGAAUUGCUUAGCUGUUCUUUUCGUUUUUUACUCUUGCACUGUUGGUGAAAGAUGUCCAUGUACCUGAGAUGGCUACCUAAAUGAAUCGUAUAAAUGCAUAUAAUGUCCGAGUUUGACAUCAUAAACUUGCCUAGUGUUAUUCCUCUAUUCCCUACUGUUAUUCCUGUGUUUUAUAUUUGUAAGAGAUAGCAUAUAUUACCUCUAUUCCGAAAUAUAAGCCUUUCGAAAAAGGAUCAUGUUUUGGAACAGGGGUAGUAACAGUUAUACUGUUUUGACAAAUUUAACCCGAUUCGACAUAUUUAUCCUGAUUCUAGAAUGUUUGAUACAUGGUGCCUGGCAUAAAUCAAUUGGUGAAUCUCUGCUUUGUUAUCUCAAUAAUCCUGAGUUCUAUACUAGUAGCCUAGUGACUUGUUGGAACAAAGAGGGAGCAUGUAAAUUAUAUUUUUCUGACCUUAUAUUUUCAAUUCGUCUUUGUAUACAUGGCGUACAUGCAUGCAUCUAGUGGGAUAUCAACCUUUUAUCAGGUAAAUGUUAACUAAUCUCUAAGAGACUAAGAUUGCACCCCUAGAUGAACCUUACAAAAUUGUACAUGCUAAGAAUUAGUCCGACUACUUGGUGGUUUCAGUUAGUUUCCCGAUCAAAUGAACUAACUAAUAUAUGUAGUGCUUCUUUUAGUACUCUUAACGCAUUUUUAGGCAGGAGUUGACACAUAUUAGAUUGCCUGUAUUUUUUUGUGGGAUGUCUUCAGCAUAUCAUCGUUUCAUUAUAUUGCAAAGGUGUCCUAUUUUUAUUUACAACUUAAGUAUUAGUUAGACGUGUCCAUGUAUAUAGUUAUAUAUGUUACCUGAUGGGUGCAUCGAGUUGUUCAGCCAUUGUUAAAGUUAGGACUGUAUGGUGAGACACGGAGAACUCUAUUAUAUGGCCUCUAUGUGCAGGACCGUUAAUACAUCUACAACACUACUGGUAGCCUUUCUCAGGGGAAGACAUCUUCUGAGGUAAAGGUCACGAGAAGGAAUCUUGCCUUCCUGGGUGCGGGACCAGUGGAGUAAAGAGCUGGGUUGCACGUGGGGAAGGCAUCUUCUGAGGUAAGGGUCACGACAAGUAAUCUUUGCCAGUUUUCUAAAGCAGUACCAAACAGAAUUUGAUAUAGAACUUCAUAAUCGCGUUGGUCAGUACUAUACGGAUAGACUGUUGGUCCGUGGUGAUAACAAAAGUUUAAUUGGUGAAUGGGAAUAACACAUUGAUCAAUCUUACAUAUAGCUCUUUGGAUUGAGGAAAACAACCUGCAGAUUGCGUUUGAGCAGAAGGAGCCCAAACUGAAGACGAGGGAGCUCAAGCUGAAGGAAGUGAUCGGGAACAACAGCGAGAAAGCCUCGCGAACUUUUAAUGUGUAUGCCAAUGUGUGCAUCUCUGCUCUCAGCGUAGUUGUUAUUCUGUUUUCAAAUCUUGUGUUCGUUCUUCUAAAAUAGCUCAUUAGACUGAUUGUAUUAUAGAAUUUUGAAAAAACAUGUAUAUUGCUUCAGAUGUUUCCUUGUACCUAUUUCCAUGUUAACAAGUUUACCUCUACCUAACAAUAAAUUCCCAGCCA
Lolium rigidum is the source of this 2445-nucleotide long non-coding RNA. RefSeq lists it as uncharacterized. Lineage: Eukaryota; Viridiplantae; Streptophyta; Magnoliopsida; Poales; Poaceae. The transcript has 2 exons. The record is from RefSeq and is a predicted model, not a curated record.